RNAcentral lists this long non-coding RNA (259 nucleotides) under Gossypium raimondii (Peruvian cotton). RNAcentral's name for it is "long non-coding RNA (GRAI_LNC002007)". Lineage: Eukaryota; Viridiplantae; Streptophyta; Magnoliopsida; Malvales; Malvaceae. The record is from RNAcentral.
UCGUGCAUCAAGUUUAUUCUUUCUCUUAGAAGGAAAUCGUUCCUUCCUCAUAUGCACCCAUACCCAAUCUCCAAGUUCAAACAAGACUUGCUUUCGCCCUUUAUUAGCUCGAUGUGCAUUGGACUCAUUCUUUUUCUCAAUGGCUUUACGAGCCUUCUCAUGGAUCUCUUUCACUAAAUCAGCUUUCCUUUCACCAUCUAAAUUAGCAAUCUCAUUCAAAGGUAAAGGAAGCAAAUCUAAAACAGUAAGUGGAUUAAAG